This 401-nucleotide ribosomal RNA is filed under the name uncultured prokaryote. RNAcentral describes it as "bacterial SSU rRNA". It matches the Rfam family "Bacterial small subunit ribosomal RNA", at positions 355 to 774 of the family's 1533-position model. The record is from RNAcentral.
UUAGGAAUCUUCCACAAUGGGGGCAACCCUGAUGGAGCAACACCGCGUGCUGGAUGAAGGCCUUCGGGUCGUAAACAGCUUUUGUAUACGAAGAAUAUGACGGUACCUUAGGAACAAGUCCCGGCUAACUACGUGCCAGCAGCCGCGGUAAUACGUAGGGGGCGAGCGUUAUCCGGAAUUAUUGGGCGUAAAGAGUACGUAGGUGGUUUCCUAAGCAUGGGGUUUAAGGCAAUGGCUCAACUGUUGUUCGCCCUAUGAACUGGGUUACUUGAGUGCUGGAGGGGAAAGCGGAAUUCCUAGUGUAGCGGUGAAAUGCGUAGAUAUUAGGAGGAACACCAGUGGCGAAGGCGGCUUUCUGGACAGUAACUGACACUGAGGUACGAAAGUGUGGGGAGCAAACA